Molecule: ribosomal RNA, 425 nt
Filed under: uncultured prokaryote
Description: bacterial SSU rRNA
Rfam family: Bacterial small subunit ribosomal RNA
Source: RNAcentral
UAACGAAUAUUCCGCAAUGCGCGAAAGCGUGACGGAGCAAUGCCGCGUGCAGGAUGAAGCCUUUCGGGGUGUAAACUGCUGUCAGGGGACAGGAACACAAUGACCAUCCCCAAAGGAAGGGCCGGCUAACUUCGUGCCAGCAGCCGCGGUAAUACGAAGGGCCCGAGCGUUAAUCGGAAUCACUGGGCUUAAAGCGUACGUAGGCGGGCGCGCAGGCAUCUUGUGAAAGCCCUCGGCUCAACCGAGGAAUUGCUUGGUGAACCGCGUGCCUUGAGGCAGGUAGGGGCUGUCGGAACGCUAGGUGGAGUGGUGAAAUGCGUUGAUAUCUAGCGGAACGCCGAAGGAGAAAUCAGGCAGCUGGGCCUGUUCUGACGCUGAGGUACGAAAGCGUGGGGAGCGAACGGGAUUAGAUACCCGGGUAGUCC